Molecule: non-coding RNA, 1189 nt
Organism: Salvelinus sp. IW2-2015
Lineage: Eukaryota; Metazoa; Chordata; Actinopteri; Salmoniformes; Salmonidae
Source: the annotation of a RefSeq genome assembly
UUCAUGACAACAGAACCCACAACAACCAUGACUUGUAUCACCAUCUUCAUCUGGAUUGUUGCCCUCUGUCUCCAAGAGUCCAGAGGCCAGGUCACUGUGACUCAGACCCCUGCAGGGAAAGCUGUUUCAGUCGGUCACUCAGUCAGUCUCAGCUGUAAGACCAGCAGUGCUGUAUACAGUGACAGCAAUGGACACUAUCUGCACUGGUAUCAACAGAAACCUGGAGGAGCUCCUAAACUCCUAAUAUACURGUCUAAAACCCUUCAGUCUGGGACGCCAUCUAGAUUCAGUGGUAGUGGAUCUGGGAGUGACUUCACUCUGACCAUCAGUGGAGUCCAGGCUGAAGAUGCAGGAGAUUACUACUGUCAGAGUAGGCACUACCCCAACAGUGUCUUGGUGUUCACACAGUGAUACAGAGCUGUACAAAAACCUCCCUCAGUCAGACUGCACAGUGACUGUACUGCUACAGCUGGGACCUAAUGCAGGUGCUGAGGGGGAAGAGACAGUGACAUGAAACACUGAUCAGUAGAGGAGGUCAACUUUGAAAAUGGUUAGAAAGUAUCAUACAAAUCACACGUUCUCCAACGUCGUCAUCAUCAUUAUCAUCAUCAUGGUUGUAACUUGUUAUAUUGGUCAUGAACUGAAAGUGUAUAUACAAGUUAUUUGUAGUUUUGAACGACAAUACCAGUCCAUAUGCAGAGUAAGAUCUACAGAAGUAAAAAGAAAAGUAUCAGCCCCCCAAACCAAUUCCCUACAUGCACUUCACCACCAGUUAUUGAUGUGAUCAUCUAGCAUGUAUUAACCCUUUUCAUGAGCUGUUAGAUCUGUGAGACAUGAUGCUGGGCUCAAACAUGAGACACAUUUAUUUUCAUAAAGUAUAAUAUCCAUGUUAUCUAUCAUUAAUUACAUGGUGGCAUAUCUGUAAUGUCUCCCUCCCUGAAUCCACCACAGAGGUUAAAACCAGUCGACCCCCUCACUUCUGGCCCAGUCCAGGGUAUUUCAGGCAAUAAAACUGUUCAAAUGCUAGACUGGUCGCUGUGGGAGUAAAACUGAGAUUUACAUAGACAGGGCUGGUUGGUUCUGCUUGUCCCAGAAUAGAGCAGAACUGUCACCAGAUGUUCACCCUGUCCUCAGGGUUUGGAGGUAGAAAAGACCUGGGGAAAUAUAAUGCAGUGUAGAAUACACAUUG